Molecule: ribosomal RNA, 352 nt
Filed under: uncultured fungus
Lineage: Eukaryota; Fungi
Description: SSU rRNA
Rfam family: Eukaryotic small subunit ribosomal RNA
Source: RNAcentral
UCGAUAACGAACGAGACCUUAACCUGCUAACUAGUUGCCAGUACGUGAGUAUUGGUAUACUUCUUAGAGGGACUGACUACGUUUAGUAGUCGGAAGUUUGAGGCAAUAACAGGUCUGUGAUGCCCUUAGAUGUUCUGGGCUGCACGCGCGCUACACUGACAAAGCCAGCGAGUACUACCUUGGCCGAGAGGUCUGGGAAAUCUUGUGAAACUUUGUCGUGCUGGGGAUAGAUCAUUGCAAUUAUUGGUCUUGAACGAGGAAUUCCUAGUAAGCGCAUGUCAUCAGCAUGCGUUGAUUACGUCCCUGCCCUUUGUACACACCGCCCGUCGCUACUACCGAUUGAAUGGCUAAA